Molecule: ribosomal RNA, 433 nt
Filed under: uncultured bacterium
Lineage: Bacteria
Description: partial 16S ribosomal RNA
Rfam family: Bacterial small subunit ribosomal RNA
Source: RNAcentral
AACGAACGCUGGCGGCAUGCCUAACACAUGCAAGUCGAACGAGUCCUUCGGGUCUAGUGGCGCACGGGUGCGUAACGCGUGGGAACCUGCCCUUAGGUUCGGAAUAACUCCCCGAAAGGGGUGCUAAUACCGGAUAAUGUCUUCGGACCAAAGAUUUAUCGCCUUUGGAUGGGCCCGCGUUGGAUUAGCUAGUUGGUAGGGUAAAAGCCUACCAAGGCGACGAUCCAUAGCUGGUCUGAGAGGAUGAUCAGCCACACUGGGACUGAGACACGGCCCAGACUCCUACGGGAGGCAGCAGUGGGGAAUAUUGGACAAUGGGCGAAAGCCUGAUCCAGCAAUGCCGCGUGAGUGAUAAAGGCCUUAGGGUUGUAAAGCUCUUUUACCCGGGAUGAUAAUGACAGUACCGGGAGAAUAAGCUCCGGCUAACUCCGUG